RNAcentral lists this ribosomal RNA (468 nucleotides) under uncultured bacterium. Its description in RNAcentral is "partial 16S ribosomal RNA". It matches the Rfam family "Bacterial small subunit ribosomal RNA", at positions 28 to 507 of the family's 1533-position model. The record is from RNAcentral.
GACGAACGCUGGCGGCGUGCCUAAUACAUGCAAGUCGAGCGGAAAGGCCCGGCUCUUGUGCGGUGCUCGUGUGCCGCGCGGGUGUGUAUAACGCGAGUAAACUCUCCCUGUCAUUGGGAUAAAACCUGGAGAAACGGGCGCUAACAGCGUAUGAGAUCUUGAAGCACGAGGGGGGAUGGAGAGAUUCGGCGGUUGGGGAUGGACGCGCGGUUUAUCAGCUUGUUGGUGGGGUAGUGGCUUAAAAAGGCUCCGACGGGUAGCCGGCCUGAGAGGGUGACCGGCCACAUUGGGACUGAGGUAGGGCCCAGACGCCUACGUGAGGCAGCGGUGGAAAAUAGUGCGCAAUGGGCGGAAGCCGGAUGCAGCGACGCCGCGUGCGGGAAGACGGCCUGCGGGGUGUAAACCGCUUUCGCCUGUAACGAACCGUGAGUGACGGUAACUGGUAAGAAAGCACCGGCUAACUACGUG